GAUGAAGAACGCAGCGAAAUGCGAUACGUAAUGUGAAUUGCAGAAUUCAGUGAAUCAUCGAGUCUUUGAACGCACAUUGCGCCCCCUGGUAUUCCGGGGGGCAUACCUGUCCGAGCGUCAUUGCCGCCCUCAAGCACGGCUUGUGUGUUGGGCCUCCGUCCUCCUCCCGGGGGACGGGCCCGAAAGGCAGCGGCGGCACCGCGUCCGGUCCUCGAGCGUAUGGGGCUUCGUCACCCGCUCUUGUAGGCCCGGCCGGCGCUUGCCGACACAUCAAUCUUUUUUCCAGGUUGACCUCGGAUCAGGUAGGGAUACCCGCUGAACUUAAGCAUAUCAAUAAGCGGAGGA
Molecule: unclassified non-coding RNA, 345 nt
Filed under: soil metagenome
Description: partial contains 5.8S ribosomal RNA, internal transcribed spacer 2, and large subunit ribosomal RNA
Rfam family: 5.8S ribosomal RNA (bases 1-120)
Source: RNAcentral